Non-coding RNA from Bemisia tabaci, 5826 nucleotides. Lineage: Eukaryota; Metazoa; Arthropoda; Insecta; Hemiptera; Aleyrodidae. The record is from RefSeq and is a predicted model, not a curated record.
UUUUUCUUGUCAAAGUUUUCAAGAGUCUGGACUCUAGAUCCAAUGUGAUUUUUUCCCCCCAGUGAGGGGUUCACGAGUUUUUCAAUAUUUGGGAAAGAACAACUUUUCAAAUCCGCGAACUCUCCUCGUUUAUUACUUUUGACACGCCUUGAGUAUAUGUAAAAGUUAGCGUAUCCAAAUUUUUGUCUCUUUGUUUCUGCAUCACUUUAUCAUAUGCAACCAGGUUUGGACACCGUUCUGGUGCUGCACCAUUCGAUGAAGGGGGGAGGGAGGGAGGAAAUUAUGCUCUUUUAGUGGGAUUAAGUGUCUUAUUUAUUGGUUUUAUUUCAGGUGAAAUUACCAGCAAUGUUGUUGCCGUGUAUGUGUUCCUCCUCUUUGUGCCCACGGCAACAUUGUCUGGGAAGAGAAAGCGGAAGUCAGCUGAGAAUCAGUCUGAUGACACCGUGGUCAACAAUAAAGUUUGGCGACCCUCUCGCGAUGAGGUUAGGAACACCACAAUGUACAACUUUACCGCAAAAAAUAACUAAAAAAAAAGAAAUAGAAGUUGAUAGCUCACCCUCUCCGCCUCCUAAAAUCAAGUCCAGAUCAUCAACUGGAUCUGGCUCGUCGACUGCAUCUGGCUCAUCAACGUCCAUUUCUUCUUCCGAUUCAAGAUUCAUCAUAGCUUUGGUAGAAAGAUACCUAAAUAAACAAGAAAGAAAGUCUUUACUACCUACUAACUAAAGGUGAAAUACACCAAAGCAGAAAGGUAAUGUUCUACACAUUGCAGCUCAAGCACUUACAGCCUAGAAUGAAUGAAGUACCUGGAUAAAUGACAUUUCUCCGAUAUUAAGCUCAUAACUGUAAAAUACUGAUGGACCUUCCAUAUCAAAAUGGAUUAAGACUAACAUUGCGAAGGAUUUCAAUCAGUCAAUUUAAAGUUAGGUUUCCUGUGAAAUAAUUUCAGUUCAUGUUAGGUACACACUCAUCUCAGUACGUAAAACCAGAAGCAAGUCUUGAUCUUUUCUGAACCUGCCCAAAGACAUUAAACUAAGCAGGUAGAUGAUGCAUUUCCUUAUCUUGCCACACUGGUGCUCCGUGAUCCUUCUCCCUGCAACUUAAGGAUGUGUGAGAGGACUUUCUGUUGAAUGAUGCUGUGUGCCUAUCAUCCAAACUACUUUCCCCAGUUAAAACACAAAAAACAAGCGACCAAACCAUCACCUGACCAAUAUAGAAUUGGGGGAUUUUAUGGAUCAUGGACAUUCAGAUAGAGAGGAUAAAAGGUUCAAAAGGAGGUUAGGAUGCAACAAAAUGUGAUGCGGUACUUAAUAAAGCUAUUUAACUUUCGAUGUCAUCUUUCGUACUUAGGCAAUGAUGCUUCGGACAGGCUUGGGCUUAUUCAAAACUUACCUGCUCUGUGAAAAAAUCAGACUGAUAAUGUCCUUUCACUCCAACCGUGAAACAAAACAGCCUGGCAGAUACUGCCCCAUCAUAUCAAUGUAACGUACUUAUCAUUGAGGUAUCUAAGUGAAACCUGAUGGCAACUAGGACCUACUUCUUCGUGACCCUCAGACAGUACUUGAACUGGUGGCGAAGCAGUCGUUUUCAAAUUUGGUUGUGCCUUGGAAAUGUGAAUUGGCCUCAUACGUAAGAUGAGGCUACAGCAAAGCGAACUGUUUAGCUAUGCUGUAUGCAACACACUCGUUGGAUCUUUUGUUCCUUGAUGUUGCAUAGAAAUAAACACAUCUUUAUUCGCCACCUCCUUCAGAAUUUCCAUCAUGUUUUUUUAUCGGGGUUGGAGCAAGUAUUAAACCACUGUUAUAAACUGAACUACUGAGAUGGUGAGCAGAGAUCAUUGACGUGUAAUACAAUCUAAACCGCGCAUUGGGCCCGACUUUAGGCGGGGAAGGUAAGACAGCUAGGGGGGUAAAGACGCGCCUUCAGCCUAGUUGAAACCGCCGGAUAUACGAGCUAAGUGUACCCGUAUCAGGCAACACCACUGAUAGGACUGGCAUUUCAAUUGUCUCAGUACGUAUUGCCGGUUCACUUACUGGGUGUUGCUGGGUUGCCUAUCGUCUCGCCUGAAGGGACUCUAGUCUUGCCGAAAUUACCUAAUGCGCGGUCUAGAUUGUAUUAUACGUCAAUGACAGAGAUGUGAAUGGAGAGGGUUUACAAAGAUGCUAAUUAGUGUCGAGAAGGGCAGUGAUGACUAGGCCAAUGCCAGUGAAGUGAACUGUGAGGAAAACUAAUAGGCACUGCAUAACACUCGUAGUACGGUGCCCAGCACAACAUUCUAGAAAAGAUUAAGAACCCUGGGUAGAGUCCACGCCACCAUAAUUCUAACAGGCUAGGAUGGCGGUUCAAGGUCAGUUGGCAAUAAUUAGAGGAAUCAAGAGAGCCUAUCUUAAACCUCACUGUAAGGGAUGUAGAUUUGCUUCAAGUGGACCCCAGCUCUAUAUCUGGUGGGAGACAGGUACGACAUGAACAUGAAACUUGUUCACAGGGUCCGUCACUGCCAUCCAGCAACUCUUUCGGCAGACAAGACAAAACUACGGGCGAUUCAAUCCUGUCAGCAAAGACGCGACUAUUUCUAGCAGAAAUCCUGGAGCGAUGACACACUGGAAUGAGAAGAUGGUUUGAGAGAGGACUAGAAAUCAGGAGAGGUAACCACAACGGCGUGUGACUCUCCGAAAGAUGAUGCUUCCAGAGUUGCUGUCAUUGACUGAAACUUGGGUUACACAUUGCACCAAUUGCAUUAGCUGACAGUCGAGAGUGCAACAGGAUAAGAAUCAGAUCUUCUAUUAGAUUGUAGAGUUCAUCGACACACAAAAACUCAAGUUGAAGAGCCCAUGUGCUCGGAAAACAUAGUCCCCGAGAGCACACAGACUUUGAGAGGAAAGAAUCUACUGAGACAAUAACUUACCAGUGUCAGUUAGUUAUAAUUUCUCGAAAUAGUCGUAUCUUGCUUCGAUUACAGUAUUCACUGGAUCAAUCAGCGCAAACUUGUGUAAUUACACUAAAUUUAAAUUGCUACCGUCAAGAUAAGACAAACACUCACACGCGUUAGCCAAACGCACAUGAAAAUGCAAAUGGCGUCGCCGAGCAGUCUCAACAGGUUGCGGCUUGAACAAGGCAUUUCCCGCCAUUUCGAGUCGUAUUCGCGUUCCCAUUGGCUGUCGUAGUUGUCCUUUGUUAUGAAUACCCGCAUCUUUGAAACCAUUUCCGCCGCACGCCGUUUCCGGCGGAAAUAACAGGCGAGGGGGGAGGAACGCUGAAUUACACUCAAAAAAUGUGCGUGGAUCUCGUUGCAGAUGAGCUUACUCUUUUCAUCUGCUCGUUUCAAUGGCAGCUAUGGUAUCUACGCAAGUGGAUGAAAGAUGUAGACUCUGUCUUAAACGAGGUAUACACAAAUAAAGCAUAGUUAAAGCAAUAAAAAAAAUAAUAAAUGUGCACCACGCUAUUAACCGCAGUAGCAAUGACCUGUUGAGAAAAACUUUCAAAACCUCUCAAAAAGCUGUUAAAAUAUUCAUUUGUCGAAUUCAUUCGUUGCCUAUUUUUUAAGUAUAAUUCAACUAUUCGUGAAAUUUACUUGAAUACAGACUUUAAAAAGUAACUUCUUUUUGAACGUUAAUUAACAUUUCUCAAACAUUUUAAAUGUUGAACAACUACAGCUGAUAUUUAAAAAGUUUUCCAACACUAUUCUACUUAACCUCACGCUUUCAUGUAGUUUUCUUGAAGAAAUGCCCCCCCCCCCCCAAAAAAAAAACACUAUACAAAAAUACGAAUAUUUCAGCAGUUUUUUGAAGAGUUGACUUUUUUCUUUACAUGUUCUUGAAAGGCUUGUUUAAAAAUUAUUGCUACUAAGGUAGCAUGGUGUAGGAUUAGUGUAGUAUUAUUUCUACCUUACUUCCAAUAUUGCUGCAAUGUUUAGGAACAUCCUCCCUAGCAGUAGCACAUCAACAAUCUUUAAUAUUUGUUUUACCAAGAUAGGUAUAAUGUGGCUGCAAUGUAAAAAUCCAAGAUUUUCAUUAAUGAACUUCAUAAGGUUGCAUUAUAAGCUUUGUAGGUACUGAAAGAAGGAAAUUUUUGUGAAGAAGUUAUUUUGAACUUGUUCUGCAGAGAAAUAAGUGUCAAAAUUUAUGAGGCAUUUCACUUGAUGUGAUUUUUCCUUUAUUCCUUUUCAAAGUUUUGUUUCUUUCUUUCUCUUCCUAUUUUUUUUUUCUGCAACCUUAAAAAAGAUACAAAGGAGAGAUGGGUGAAAAAAAUCAAGGUCAAUAUUCAAUGCUCAAAACGGUUAGCUCAAAAUGAUAUUGAUGCCACCUUUUUCCUGAAGUAUAAUUUUAGUUCUGCGACACCUGGUUUGAUAAUGAUGCAGAGAUAGUCAAAUCAGGCAGAUUAAUAAAUGCCUGGAGCAGUUGGUCAAACUUUACAGAGGUCUUUUAUGCAUCCAACAAAGAUUUCAAGAUUUAGAAUAUUCUUUGAAUAAAAUUUAAUGUAUUGAUUUUACUUUGUUACUACUUGCUGGAAUUUUCUUAGCUAAUUUUUCUUUCUAGGUCAUUGAUACUUCGUCACACAAAAUUUUGUAUACUACUUUGUACAUACACCAAAAAACAUUUGUAGAUAUCUUUUCACAGACCGAAAUUUUUUGGAGGUUCUUUACCUACAGAGAUUGAUUUUCUCCUGGCAGAACUAAUCACACAUCUUAAAAUGCCGUUUAAAAGGGACUAAAGAAAAAAAAAUUACCUUCCAAGUGGAUUUUGCCGAGCUCACCGAAAUACAAAUUAACGGAAAAAUAGGAUAUCCUUAACAUCAUGAUUGUAUGAAAUAGCUUGAAAUAAAAGCGUUGUAACUAACUUUUUAGAGAAAAUGGAACUAUUCAUAUUUUUAAAAUAGCUUAGUGGGGCCCUAUAAGUAUGAUCACAUUUGUUAGAAAUCUCUAACACAAGGCACAAGAUGCUAAGCUUCAAACAUUUUAAAUUACAUUGGAAGCGGUGCAUCUGUUGGGCAAUUUAUGAACGGUAGCUUGAAACGAAAAAACUAUAGUUAUAACCCUUCUGCUUUAAUCUACUGAUGUAAACCAUGUCAUUUCUUUUACUAUUUUUUGUUUCCCAAUCUUUCGAGUUCGAACUCAUUUUAAUGACAAACAACACAGCUCUUUUGAAGGGUCAUGGAGAAUUAAUCUUCAUUUGAGGAGUGUAUUCUUACAUCAUAUUCCAACAACUGUUCCUCUUCAAAGCAUUUCCCUCUGCUUUUGAAGGUAUGACUUCAAUGUGUUUUAAGGGAAUUUUUCAAGCAUGCGUUUUGAUUACUCAUUUUUCAGUAAGAUCAGAAAAAUAUGUUCUUUUCAAAGUUUGAAUUAACAUGAGGUCAUUGAAUGUCAGGUGUGGACUGUCAGGAGGUGCUAGAGGAUGGCAGUGCCCCUGGGAGGGGAGAACUCUUUUGUGAAAAAGAGUGUGGGUAUGAAUCAUGAUGAAGGAUUCAUCAUGACUGAGUAGCCACACAUUUCAUUUUCUCAAUGAUAUAAGAGAGAUUACCAUUACACAUGCCAUAAAAAAACUUGUGUAAUACAUAAUUACAAUGUUUAAAAGAGGUUCGGUGAUGAAAAUUGCAUGUACGUAUUGCAAAAGGUACAAGGGGCAUUCACUCGUUGAAUAAGCAUACGUACAUCUCUUGAAUUAGUUCCAUUUACUAAACAGUGAUAACUCAGAAUUUUCAUUGAACAGAAAAUGUAUGAUGGGUUUAAGCAAAAGACUUUGUCUCAGACAACUGAAAAAAGGCUACAAUUUUGUAAAACAUAAGAAGUUUUGUACAUUUCAUGUUAAAACUUGUAUUGAAAAACUCGAAAAA